Nycticebus coucang (slow loris) is the source of this 126-nucleotide small nucleolar RNA. RefSeq annotates it as small nucleolar RNA SNORA11. The transcript has a single exon. NCBI's taxonomy places the organism in Eukaryota, Metazoa, Chordata, Mammalia, Primates, Lorisidae. The record is from RefSeq and is a predicted model, not a curated record.
GGGGUGUGCUCAAAACAAGGGGCCUAAAGAAUGGCUCCUUGUUCAUAACACCCAACAGGAAUCUGGGAUCAUUAUGAUGAGGGGCACAAAACGUGUGGCCUCCCUACAAACAAAUUUCCUACAUGU